This 71-nucleotide transfer RNA is filed under the name Camelus bactrianus (Bactrian camel). It matches the Rfam family "tRNA". Rfam says of the family: Transfer RNA (tRNA) molecules are approximately 80 nucleotides in length. Their secondary structure includes four short double-helical elements and three loops (D, anti-codon, and T loops). Lineage: Eukaryota; Metazoa; Chordata; Mammalia; Artiodactyla; Camelidae. The record is from Rfam by way of RNAcentral. RNAcentral also lists the same sequence under 1 other name.
AGGGUGAAGCUUAGUGAUAGAGCACAUGCUUGUCAUCCACGAGGUACUGGGUUCAAUUCCCAGUACCUCUG